AGGUGGAGAGGAACACGAACACCGUCAUCCUCCUCUCUUCGACGAGAUUCGAGAGGAAGAAAAACGGGGAUUACUUUAUUAGCAAAGGAAGAGAAAGCUCGAGUCCUCGUGGUGGAGACGAGUCACGAUGCGGAAUGGUACACGCGUUGGAAGGCAGUGUGGAUGAAUGAUGAGCAGCAUCGGGAGGGGGGAGGGAGGGGAGGAGAGGAGGAGGGCCACGUUCUCCUCCUCCUCGCGUCGGCUCGAAGCGUCUCUCGUCAGUGGCGUGCGACAACAGUAGCGUCGUUCUUCCUCCUUUUCCUCGCCAAAGAACGUGGACGAAUCGACGAAGCGGCGCGUGCACUCAUCGCGGAAACGGGGAGAUUGUUGGACGCCUCGAGUCCACGAAGCGGAACGACGACGUUGCUGCCGCGACGACGAGCAUCACGAUGUUCUCGACCCAACACCACCAACGAUCCGGGGCACACGCGCGAGAAACGUGAAGCGUCACAUGAUCUCCGCUACGACGACGGAUCACGAUGCGACACCUUUCGCGACACCGAGAACAAAGCAGGAACAAGAGGAAGAGGAAGGAAGAGGAGGAGGAGGAAGAAAGAGAAAGAGAAGAGAGAGAGAGGAAGAAGGAGAAGGAGGAGGAGGAGAAUUGGUUGCGUGCGGAUCGGUGGAAACGUCGCCGAGGAGAGGAUACAGCGUAUUCGCCGGUGGCGCGGAUCAAAAGAGAGAAAAAGAGAAAGGAAAAAAGGAAAAAGAGAAUGGUAACGCCGGUUUCUCCUCCUUGGUUGGCCGGGGAGCGGCUAUGGCGGUGGCCUGGCUCUUACUGCUGGUGCUGGUGGUGCUGGUGCUGCUGCCGGUGCUGCUGCCUGCUGCUUCCCUUGGUGCGGGGGAAACGAUUAUCUCGCAGCAUCCCCAUCGCGCAGGACCGAUCCGUGGCGGCGCGACCGCCGAGUGUCGGACGAAGAUGCCGAAAAAGAGAGUGAGCCAAGUGGACGAAAGAGGGCGCUGGUUGAACAGAGACGUACAUCCUUUCCUAACCAGUCGAAGGGUGUAUGCUCGAGCAUGGAACGGAGAGAGAGAGAGAGAGAGACAGACAGAGAGAGAAAGAGAGAGAUCAAAGCCGAAUGCUUUGAGGAUAGGGGAAGGACAAAGAUGGGAAGAGGAAGUAACGAGACGGUGAGAAUGGAUGGUGUGGAUUAAAGAGCGACGGGAACGAGGUGAAGGACAAAAAACAAGGCGGUGGGGGGGGGGAGAGGAGGGUUAGGUAAGGUCGUCGUCGCGAGGAAGCGACGGAUUUUUUUUAAUCGGCACGCGUCGUCCAUCCGUAUCGACGAAUUUUUCCUCGAGCGGAAAGAAAGGAGGGAAGAGAGUGGCGAGAAAUGAG
Long non-coding RNA from Apis florea (little honeybee), 1378 nucleotides. The record is from RefSeq and is a predicted model, not a curated record. NCBI's taxonomy places the organism in Eukaryota, Metazoa, Arthropoda, Insecta, Hymenoptera, Apidae.